Molecule: ribosomal RNA, 299 nt
Filed under: uncultured eukaryote
Lineage: Eukaryota
Description: partial 18S ribosomal RNA
Rfam family: Eukaryotic small subunit ribosomal RNA
Source: RNAcentral
CCCUUAGACACUCUAGGCGGCACGCGCGCUACAAUGGGUGGAAGACCGUGUUACUGCCUUCGAAAGAAGGGGUGAAUCACGAAUUCUUACCCGUGAAUGGGAUAGUUUGUUGCAAUUUUCGGACUUGAACUAGGAAUCCCUUGUAAGCAUGCUCAAGAAUAGCGUGUUGAAUACGUCCCUGCCGUUUGUACACACCGCCCGUCGUUUCUUCCGACUGAUACUCAUUGUGAGUUGCAAGGACGCUUCAUUGUGAAAUUGCUGCGAAUGCUUUGUAUUGGAGGAAGAAAAAGUCGUAACAA